GGGCAACUCACGGAACUAACGUUACAAACGUGACACUUGGGCUAGUUUUUUUUUUCACACGAAUCUUUUAAUUCGCGGCCGAAUAGUUGAACGACGUACACUCAUUUCUUCUUCGGUAUACUCAAUUUUCAUUCGUUUAUUUGUUUUUACGUUUACAAGAAUGGUACCGUAAAUAAGUGGUUGAGCGAUAACUUUAUAAUAACAGUCCGCAUCGAAGCGGUAGCAAUCGAACCGGUGUGCAAAUUAAAAUAUAUUGAACGUCGCAGUAUUACCAU
Molecule: non-coding RNA, 275 nt
Organism: Cinara cedri
Lineage: Eukaryota; Metazoa; Arthropoda; Insecta; Hemiptera; Aphididae
Source: the annotation of a GenBank genome assembly